Molecule: long non-coding RNA, 1996 nt
Organism: Manis javanica (Malayan pangolin)
Lineage: Eukaryota; Metazoa; Chordata; Mammalia; Pholidota; Manidae
Source: RefSeq, a predicted model, not a curated record
CUCCGUUCUCCAGGUGCGGAGAAUGGAGGUUCCGGUUGGAUUACUUUGCAUUUUGCCUGCCGCUGCUACAGGUUUACCGUGUUUAUGCAAGCAUUCCUAUAAAUGAUGCUCCCCUUUGAGGGCGAUAAGUGACAUGUCCUUUGAAGUAAUGUCGGAGGCAUUUUCCCCACUCAAGUGAAGGAAGCUCAGGAAUCUGUCAGACGAUUGCUAAUUUCUCCAUCUGGAACCUGCCCUUUUGUACAGCAGUGAGGCUGGAGAUCGGCAGAACCUGUUUAGAAAAUAAAAGAAAUGCUGCUUCAGGACCAGAUGACAAAAUGAGACACACAGUAAAGAGAGACAGACUCCUCAUUCUUCAUGGAACAAUCUGACUGCAGGGCAGUGAGCAUCGGAAGUUCUGGAAGCUGGGAAGUUCAAGACGGAGGCACUGGCAGAUUCAGUGUCUGGUGAGUGGUCUCCUCCUGGUCCUCGGAUGGCCGUCUGUUUUUGCUGUACCCUCACAUGGAGAAAAAGUUAAGAUUCACCUCAGGAAACCAAGUACAAAACAAACAAGACGUUCUGAUGUUCAGCUCGGAAUCUGACUGUGGAAACCUAAACCACGCAACUGCACGAGCGAGAACGGCAGUAGCUCCGCCCCUUCUGCUCUCGAAGUGGGCGCCGUCUGCAGCUGAGGUUUGUGCACGAAAGCAGAACACGAGUGUGACACCACUUUCUGUCUCAAGAGGAAGAAGUAUUAUGCCUCACCUAGAAUAGACGAUUUCAUUCCUUAAUCCAUCUCAACGUCCAGCAUUUUCCCAAAGGAUCGUAAGAUGUCCAGGUUGAAGCAGAUGCAUGUUUUUCUCCAUCAGUACCAAUUGUCCUCUUAGCCAGAGAGCGUGUGACUGCCAAGACACGCUAGAAUUUGUUGACCCUCCCAGAGAGCUGGAAGAGCAAAGCAGCUCAUCUGCACCCCGUUUCUUCAGCCUGGUGGCAGUGUGACACAGUGCCUCUCACAGGAGUACUUUUCUGAAUCGCAGAGGGACACCGCGCAGUGAAGGUGCACUUCAUCAUAAUCCCCAAUGAACUUAAAGACGGUGACGUGAAAGCGGCAGUCAUGAAACCCUCCUGUGAGUGAGAGGUGCCCUCCAUGCCUAGAAGAAAGCAGCACCCUUAUCUUCAAAGACAACAAUCCGAACACACAGGCCUCGCUAGUUUCCCUGUUUGCUGCAACCGCCUCGUGCUCUUCGGUGAGUCACACUUCUCCAUGGCCGUCCGUUCAUCAUCAGACCCAGCAGAGAAUACUCAGGCCAAACCAUUUCUUUGGGUCUCCCUCAUUUCCUUAUGAAGGAUUCCGUGUCAUACAAGUAAAUGUAAGUUUAAUAAAAGUAAAACUUUUGAAUAACUCCAUAUGCUUUUCUCCUAUUGAUCUAUUUCACACCCAGCCAGGGACCCUAAGAUGGUCAAGGAGAAGUUUGUCCUCCCAACACCAGACAAUUUAACAUCACAUCCCCUCCAAAGAAAGGAGAGGCGAGUGAUCCAAGGAAGGUCAUCAUGUUCCUUCCCAGGCAUUCCCCGAAGGGGGUUAGGAGGAAUCCCAGCUUCUUGGUGUUUGCAGUGCUAUGAGGAUGGGAGUCCAGGAAUGCCAGUCUAACAAGGUCACUAAGACAGACACAGAGAGGCAAGGGACAGGGCAAAUGAGGUGCAGUCUUGACAGCAUUUGGCUGCCUGGAUCCAGUCAUCCCUAAAGCCACACCCGCUCCUGUGAUUUGGUUCCGUAGCCCUGAAAUGCCUUAUUUUUGCAUAAGCCUGAUUGAACCAGUCUCUACCACUUCUAAUAGAAGUUUGAUCAAUACAGACAUCUGCUUUAAGAAUUACUGUAUCAGGGUGAUGGGAAUGCUCCAAGAUUAGGUUAUGGUGAUGACUGCACUCCAUCACUGAGUGGAAAUCAUUAAAUUUUAUAUUUGAAGCAAGUACAUUUUAUUGCAUUAAAUUACAUGUGCAAUAAAGCUGUUAAAAAGUA